GGAACGUUGGCAGAGAGGUUUAUUGCGAGUGGUUGCUAACCAUUAUGCGUUAACGCGCACACAGGUUCGAAUCCUGUACGUUCCGCCA
Molecule: transfer RNA, 88 nt
Filed under: Veillonella criceti
Lineage: Bacteria; Bacillati; Bacillota; Negativicutes; Veillonellales; Veillonellaceae
Description: tRNA-Ser(gct)
Rfam family: tRNA
About the family: Transfer RNA (tRNA) molecules are approximately 80 nucleotides in length. Their secondary structure includes four short double-helical elements and three loops (D, anti-codon, and T loops). Further hydrogen bonds mediate the characteristic L-shaped molecular structure. tRNAs have two regions of fundamental functional importance: the anti-codon, which is responsible for specific mRNA codon recognition, and the 3' end, to which the tRNAs corresponding amino acid is attached (by aminoacyl-tRNA synthetases). tRNAs cope with the degeneracy of the genetic code in two manners: having more than one tRNA (with a specific anti-codon) for a particular amino acid; and 'wobble' base-pairing, i.e. permitting non-standard base-pairing at the 3rd anti-codon position.
Source: RNAcentral